AAAGAAAGCUUGUCUUUUCUUUGCUGGCGACCGGCGCGACGGGUGAAGUAACUACGUACUCCAACCUCGUCCCUUUACGUCGGGGAUAGUCCUUUACGAAAGAAAGAUUAAUACCCGAUAGUAUAAUGAUUCCGCAUGGUUUCAUUAUUAAAGGAUUCCGGUAAAGGAUGGGGAUGCGUUCCAUUAGGUUGUUGGUGAGGUAACGGCUCACCAAGCCUUCGAUGGAUAGGGGUUCUGAGAGGAAGGUCCCCCACAUUGGAACUGAGACACGGUCCAAACUCCUACGGGAGGCAGCAGUGAGGAAUAUUGGUCAAUGGGCGAGAGCCUGAACCAGCCAAGUAGCGUGAAGGAUGACUGCCCUAUGGGUUGUAAACUUCUUUAUAAAGGAAUAAAGUCGGGUAUGGAUACCCGUUUGCAUGUACUUUAUGAAUAAGGAUCGGCUAACUCCGUG
RNAcentral lists this ribosomal RNA (451 nucleotides) under uncultured bacterium. RNAcentral's name for it is "bacterial SSU rRNA". It matches the Rfam family "Bacterial small subunit ribosomal RNA", at positions 69 to 507 of the family's 1533-position model. The record is from RNAcentral.